Molecule: ribosomal RNA, 402 nt
Filed under: uncultured bacterium
Lineage: Bacteria
Description: bacterial SSU rRNA
Rfam family: Bacterial small subunit ribosomal RNA
Source: RNAcentral
UGGGGAAUUUUGGACAAUGGGGGCAACCCUGAUCCAGCCAUGCCGCGUGAGUGAAGAAGGCCUUCGGGUUGUAAAGCUCUUUUCGGCCGGGAAGAAAUCGCGCCAGCUAAUACCUGGUGUGGAUGACGGUACCGGAAGAAGAAGCACCGGCUAACUACGUGCCAGCAGCCGCGGUAAUACGUAGGGUGCGAGCGUUAAUCGGAAUUACUGGGCGUAAAGCGUGCGCAGGCGGUUUUGUAAGACAGGUGUGAAAUCCCCGGGCUUAACCUGGGAACUGCGCUUGUGACUGCAAGACUUGAGUGCGGCAGAGGGGGUGGAAUUCCGACGUGUAGCAGUGAAAUGCGUAGAGAUGUGAGGAACACCGAUGGCGAAGGCAGCCCCCUGGGUCGACGACUGACGCUC